This 412-nucleotide long non-coding RNA is filed under the name Chrysolophus pictus (golden pheasant). RNAcentral describes it as "lncRNA (ENSCPIG00010010146.1)". Lineage: Eukaryota; Metazoa; Chordata; Aves; Galliformes; Phasianidae. The record is from RNAcentral.
CGGUCCCCGCUUUGUCACUGAAGCACAAAGGUUCUCGGCGGCCCGGGGAGACGGCGGCUCCCUCCGCCCCUGAGGCGGCGAGCGGGGCCGCUGUUUGUGGGGCUUUCAGUCAGCGGAGCUGCACGCGGCGGUGCUCGUAGCGUCGCCCCGCGGGACCUUUCCCGAAGUGUCGAGCCAGAAUGCAGCAUCCCCGCCUCUGUCAGUGGCUGUGACGCCGGGGACCACCGCAGCGUCGCGCACGGCGCUGCUCCCCAGGACCGCGGUGGGACGACGCCUUCCGCGCCCCAACCCUUCUGUUGAGUCUUCAAGUCCAGGUAAGAAUUUCUGACAUUUCCUACAUUUGUGGGGGAAGAGGGUAUACUUCAAAAAUUCUCCCUCAGGGUCUUUUCCAGUUGUAACCUAAGGCUGUGGU